GUAUUAAAACUUAUGACUUCCAGAACCAGAAAAAUUAUGAAUUUAAAUAAUAUAAAGAAACAGACCAUUUGUUUUUAUAUCAUCAAGGUAUGAUUAAGCAUGGGUUUUAAUCACAGGAAAUCAUCGAGGAGUUAUCUACUUCAAUAAGGAAACAAAAGAAGAGUUAGAGAGACGCAAACAAACUUGCCGAGAGACAAGGAAGGCUCUUAGGGAAGUUACAGUGGACCGCAAUGAAAACAAACAUCUGAAAGAACGCCAUAUGGAAACCGAAAAGAAACUCCGCGAACAGGCAGAAAAACUUCUAGCAGUUGCUAAUGUUGCAACAUCUGAUGCCAUGAAGCUUCUUCAGAAGAUCGAGCGCAAAGAUUACGUAGAAACUUCUAACUCUGCAGCGACCGGUCAUCUCUACUCGUCUCUGCAAAAUCAGUUUGAUGUCGCCGCAAGGAUCAGUGAACGCCAGAGCCGUAGUGAAGCAGAAAUGUUCAGCAUGCUCAAUAACUUCCUUGCCAAUACUUCCAAGGUGCAGGCGGACUGUUUGGAUCGCCUUAGAGACCACCUCGGGAUGAUUUGUGAUGUUUUAUCUGAAAGAAUGAGAAAGUAUGCAGACCUAUGUCAAGAUUGGAGGAAAGAAAAACACACUAAAUUGAUGGCUGAUUUGAGUGUUUUGAAAGAGAAGAUUGACUCAAACAAUGUCACGCUCAACGAAACCAUAUUCGACGGAAUCAUCCCCAAGCUACAAGAUGUUUUUGAUCACUUAAAUGAUUUCGAUAAGUUCCUGGUGAAGUUCAACAAAACCAGUGACAAAGCAAAAAAAGACAUCACUAUGUUGAGUCGGGAAACGAAGAAGUUGGCAAAAUCAUUCAAAGAGAUGUUCGAAACCCAUUUAACCAAACUGAAGAGUAUCGUAUCGGAAGAAGAAGAAUUGGAUGAUUUGGAAGCCAAACUUCGUGAAGUACAGGAUGCGAGAGUGGAGGACCGUAAGAAAAUGGUUCUUUCCAUGCAAGAGGCGCUUUUGGAAUUUAGUAAGAAUGAUGAUAAGAGGCAUGAAGAGGGCUUGAGUAUGUUGGCGUUGUUCAGCACUGCAUCAAAGAAAACUCGUCUUGCAAUGAGAGAAUUGUCCAGUGCAAUCACUGAGGAUAUCAAGGCAUGUGAACCAAACUUUGCCGAAGUCAUGAGCGUCUUGAACAAAGUUGAAGACAAUCUAAAGCAUCAGCAAGACUCAACCGUCGAAAAGUUGCAAUCUUGGAAGAAUUCGGAAAGUGAGCGGUUGACUGCCAUCAUCGGGAGUGUUGAAAACCUAUCAUCAGUUUCGAAAGAAUCUCAGAAAAGCUUUGACUCUUGGAGUGCUGGUUUUAAUGAAGGUUUGGUCGAAAGCGACACCAAGGAAGAACAACUUGAAAGAGAGCAAGAAGAGGGCAUUCUUGAAGAAGUGAGCAACCAGAUAUCACAGUCUGAAACAGUUCUAAAUGACUAUGCGGAAUGCCAUCUAACAGCCAUCUCGGAAAUGGGCAAUAUCAUGCAAGAUCACCUUGCAAAUGCUGAAAAAUUACGUAAAGAACUAGAAGAAAACAUGCAGGCUCAAAACAACGUCCUCGAGAAAUUCGUUCAGGAGGACUUCAAGAAGGAUAUCCCCACAGGCUCUACUCCGCAGAAACGUGAAUUCGACUAUCCACAGGACCUCACUGCCACUUCUCCACAUGAGAUAAUUCUUGCCAGAUUCCGAGAGACAGUCAAUCAUGAACUUUCUUUCAAUGAUUCCUUAGCAGAGUCAAUCCAUUCCGAGGCCUCACAGGAAAUGGGAGCCUCAACAACUGCAGAGACAACCUCCUUAGUCACAUCAGUAUCUGACAGUUCUAUCAGUUCAGAUCAGAAAGAAAAUACGGCUACAGACACUAGAGAUACUGAUGUGGUUACUCUUCCAAAAUCCAAGAGAAUCAAUCAGUCAUCCAUCCCUCAAAUGACACCCAGGAAGAAAGUCCUAGGUGAAAUGAAUUAAUUGCUUGUAAUGGAUGGAAGCAGGGCGUUCUCUAAAAGAGACGCGUGCCCUUUUUCCACAUACCCAUGAUCUCUAAAUGCCUUUCUUAUACAUAUCAAACUGAACACAGUAAUACUUUUUAAAAAAAUUUAUUUGUAGGAUUAUGUGUGCUGCCAAGUUUUAUAAAUUUUAACAGGUUUUUUAAGUGUUUAAAAUGUAUACCGUUAGGUUAACGUAAUGAUUUUGCUAUGAUAUUGAAAAAUGCAUGAUAUUUUGAGUAAUUUUGGCGUAUUGCAAUUUUCUCUGUCAUUUCAAAGAUGCAUCAAAUCUUCAUCCUAUCUUUAUCUCCCAUCUUUUUUUCCACCCUUAUCUUAUUUUAUCUCCUUUUUUCAUCAACUUGUGAGUCCAAGCGCGUACCUUAAUUUUCCUUUUUGAUUCGUGGGUCCAAUUAGUACCAUAUUUUCCCUUAAUUUAAUUUAUUCCUGUACUAACCUUCAUACUUACCCUUACUCAUCCCUGAAUUCAAUACCUAGUUGUCUACUUUAAAUUCGAAAUCUCUGUGCUACUUUGUCUCCGGUACUGCACUAAAGCGUAAAGGUCUUACUUGAAACAAAGAUCACUGUUUGAAACUUGGUUUCUGUUUAAAUGUUGCAUUGAAGUCAUUCAGAAAGGUUGACACCCCUUUUCUCUUGUAACUGAUUCUUCUUUUUUAUCACCUGUAUCAUUGAGCUUGACUUCUUCAUGUUCUUUCCCUUUCAUGCCUUUUAAUUCAUUGAUAUAGAGCAACUUUGAGCCAUUGUUAAUGGCUGACCAGCUUGGUCAUCAUAUUUUUCAUACAUUCAUUUUGGAAUGAACUGAGCGAAAUUGAUUUUUUGAGGAAACUUAGAAUCAAUUUGUCUCCGUUUCAUUUACUUUCUAUGUUUACAAGAUAUGUCGAUGUUUUAUAUUUUAUUAAAUUCAUUUGAUUUAAAAUUGUUGUUGUUUCUUUUCUGUUAAUACUUAUUUUUUGUUUACAAUAGUAAUUAUCCUGGAAAAUAAAUACAGUAGAAUCCAAUAGCUUAUUCUAUU
RNAcentral lists this long non-coding RNA (3043 nucleotides) under Bemisia tabaci. RNAcentral describes it as "lncRNA ENSSSA3NGG011916". Lineage: Eukaryota; Metazoa; Arthropoda; Insecta; Hemiptera; Aleyrodidae. The record is from RNAcentral.